AAGCGCCUUCAUGGCGGUGAACCGGGUGCCUGCAGGGGCGUAGCCACAAAAAUGGAAGCCCCAUAUUAUGGCCCCAUGUCCAGAGUCCACCCGAAUAAGCUUAACAACUUUGAUAGCCUACGCAGACAAAUUAGAUGUAAUCAUGAAUGCAGCCAUUGCUUCUGUAUUUUUAGGCAAGCUCCUAAAUGUGCACAUACUGUAUGUGUUUGAUGGAAUUUGACCAAUAGCAGAGAACCGGUUUUAAAAAAUGAUGAUGAUGAACAUUAUUGGGCGCUAGCUAGAUGUGCUAUAUUGACAUGUGUUUGCUGUUUGCGUGGUUGCCUAUGCAGCGUGGCAUAGCUGGCAUGGAUUUGGAGCAUACGUUGUGUACGUUGGAUACACAACUACUGUAUUAGUAAUGCUGCAACGCCACACAGCUCAUUCACCACACCCCAAAAAAGCCUGACAUUGACCAACAGCUGAUCGUUCACUUGGCAUCAGUGUGGCACAACAGUUGUCUCGGCUUCUCCUGGCCGCGUGUCAAGGUGUCCUUGUACAAGACACUGAGACCUUGUGUAGGCAUCGUCAUCCGCAUCUACAUGCAGCUGUGUGCUGACAGUGUCCUCGUGGCGAUCACUGGAGUAUAAGGAGAACUGCUUACUGGAAAACAAGAUGGUGAAGCGAUUCAUACAAAGUGCUGUCACAUUCUUAUCUCUUAUACUCAGUAUAUAUCUGAGUAAAUGUUUCUCAAAAGACAGUUCACAAAAGAAUUCAAAUUAUUGUGCAGCAGUGAACCUCAGAGUCGAUUUUAAGGCCUUACACGUCACAGGACUCAGAGGGAGGAACUGAAACGUCUACACACAGAGGUUGGAGAACGGCUGUAGUUCAGAGUAAAUGUUUGACAGACGUCACUAAAAUACCAGUUUAAGGUUUGUUUAAUGUACAUUAACAUUUAUAUCAUACAUUUGUAAAAUAGCCAGAGUUCAUUUGUAAUAUUAUAUUAAUGCAGCUGUGGCACGAUUAGAUGUUCAUCUGAUUUGCUCCAUUACAGUGGUUUCCACUUUAACCUCUUCACUGGUUUGACUGACAUGUAAUCUCUACCUGUCACAUGUGAAAAGGCUCCACAUGCAGCAUUUACCAGCAUUUGAUGGCCCUCAUUACGUUUCCCGCAAAAACAGCCACUGCCAGAUAACUGCAACCACAUGACUGCCCAUUCUCAUUAAGUCCUACUUCCAGGCUCCUGAGCAGGGGGUGUAAAAGCAUAAAAAUGUAUAAUAGAAGAAUAGGAUGCGUGUGUAAAAGUUGUGUAUAAUCAAAAUCAUAAUUUAUAAAUCUUAAAUGUUCUUUGCAGGGUGAACAUUCUGACUCUGAGAAUAGAAGAAGUAUUGAUGUUAAUAUCUCUGUGAAAUAUAAAGUAGGUAAGUAGGUACUUUGUUGCUCAGUCAUCAAUUAUUGUUAAAUAUAUUUAUUAUGGAUUUACAUUUGCAUAGAACAACCUAAUAUUGAAUAAAUCUGUCAACUGAUAAGUAUUUCUUACCAUGGUUACAAUACUUGCUCUUCAGGUGAUCUGAGUACGUCAUAAUAUUGUUGACCAGUGGUUUCCCUCGUGUUAUUCAAUCUGCCUCAGAAGAGCACACGCCAUUUUCUUGCCCUUUUGUUGUAACUAUCUGUAAAAAGCCCACACUGAAACGUAAAACGCGGCUUGCUCAGAGCUAAAGCCUUUAUUGUCUGGAUUAAUAACCCCGUAUUCAGAGGUAAUGGCUCACAGGAAGAACUGUUCUUUUCCUCUGAGAUCAGUAGGAACGCCUGAGGAGAAGCUCGCUCGUAAACUAUGAGGAAUAAAUUGCUCAAUAACUGGCUCCAAACCAGCAUUCUAUGUAAAACGCACUCCUCGUGAGUGAAAUGUCAGUUAAUUACAGUUAUGCAUAGAGCACAAUCUCCACAAAGGAAGACUGGGAAUCAAUAAAGCACACGGGACAGAAGGCUGUUAUUGCUGUUUACUUAGAGAUUCUACAGGUCGCUGCAUCCGGAGACAAGUGGCGUGACGUUUACCUCCAAUCAGGAGAAUGUCCUUCAUUUGAUUUGACUAAUCUGGGACAGACGCGGAGCAUCUGUGAAUCAGGAACCCGGCUAUUGAUCCAUAAACAUCACCCAAUUAAACAACCUGGGAGCCUCGGGCCAACAUUUAGUCUGUGUCUCCAAUGACCCCAUUUUGAGUUUCUCUGAAGAAACACAGAUUUACAUGAGAAUCUGUGUGUAAACAGGACCGGUAGCAGAGACGACCUCAGAGACAAGAUAUGAUUUGUGAAGUUUUUUUAGUGAUUCACAAGUUGUGUUAUAUGGAAUAUUAUUGACCUCAGGAUCACAUACUUACCAUUAACUCAAAUUUUAUGUUGUACUAUUUGUUGUGAAUAAGACUAAUUCAUGAACACGUUUUCCUACAAGCACAACACCUUCCUCAGGCACGGAGGCAUUUAUCUCCCCUGCACGCUGUCUGUGUGCUGCAGCGCUCCUUGUUCUUCUGCUUUCUUUUUCUGUGUGGGCAGUUUAUUGAUUUCUCUCUGUAGGCGAUGGAGAAAAUUCCUAUUGUGAGAUCAAAAUAAACUGAUGAAUUAUAAAAAGGGAAAAGUGGGCCGUGCUGCUCCUGCUGCUGCCUUUCAAGCUCAGCCAGCUUGGCAGGUAUGGCGCUCAGUGUCAGUUCGGAUCUGGCUGAGUGCGUAACAUGCCACCCUCAUUCUAAUGAAGGUCUUUUGGAUUACCCUCCACAGUCAUUAGAUCAGCAUAAUAAAGGGAC
Betta splendens (Siamese fighting fish) is the source of this 2773-nucleotide long non-coding RNA. RefSeq lists it as uncharacterized. NCBI's taxonomy places the organism in Eukaryota, Metazoa, Chordata, Actinopteri, Anabantiformes, Osphronemidae. The transcript is spliced from 3 exons. The record is from RefSeq and is a predicted model, not a curated record.